This 467-nucleotide ribosomal RNA is filed under the name Lactococcus lactis. Its description in RNAcentral is "bacterial SSU rRNA". It matches the Rfam family "Bacterial small subunit ribosomal RNA", at positions 28 to 477 of the family's 1533-position model. Lineage: Bacteria; Bacillati; Bacillota; Bacilli; Lactobacillales; Streptococcaceae. The record is from RNAcentral.
GACGAACGCGGCGGCGUGCCUAAUACAUGCAAGUUGAGCGCUGAAGGUUGGUACUUGUACCAACUGGAUGAGCAGCGAACGGGUGAGUAACGCGUGGGGAAUCUGCCUUUGAGCGGGGGACAACAUUUGGAAACGAAUGCUAAUACCGCAUAAAAACUUUAAACACAAGUUUUAAGUUUGAAAGAUGCAAUUGCAUCACUCAAAGAUGAUCCCGCGUUGUAUUAGCUAGUUGGUGAGGUAAAGGCUCACCAAGGCGAUGAUACAUAGCCGACCUGAGAGGGUGAUCGGCCACAUUGGGACUGAGACACGGCCCAAACUCCUACGGGAGGCAGCAGUAGGGAAUCUUCGGCAAUGGACGAAAGUCUGACCGAGCAACGCCGCGUGAGUGAAGAAGGUUUUCGGAUCGUAAAACUCUGUUGGUAGAGAAGAACGUUGGUGAGAGUGGAAAGCUCAUCAAAGUGACGGUA